UACGUAGGGUGCAAGCGUUAAUCGGAAUUACUGGGCGUAAAGCGUGCGCAGGCGGUUUUUUAAGCUUGAUGUGAAAUCCCCGGGCUUAACCUGGGAACUGCAUCCAAAACUGGCAAGCUAGAGUAUGGUAGAGGGUGGUGGAAUUUCCUGUGUAGCGGUGAAAUGCGUAGAUAUAGGAAGGAACACCAGUGGCGAAGGCGACCACCUGGACUGAUACUGACACUGAGGUGCGAAAGCGUGGGGAGCAAACAGG
RNAcentral lists this ribosomal RNA (253 nucleotides) under uncultured bacterium. RNAcentral describes it as "partial 16S ribosomal RNA". It matches the Rfam family "Bacterial small subunit ribosomal RNA", at positions 524 to 776 of the family's 1533-position model. The record is from RNAcentral.